This 519-nucleotide long non-coding RNA is filed under the name Hordeum vulgare. RNAcentral's name for it is "long non-coding RNA (HVUL_LNC021498)". Lineage: Eukaryota; Viridiplantae; Streptophyta; Magnoliopsida; Poales; Poaceae. The record is from RNAcentral.
AUAACUGGUAAAUUGUACUCCAGCAGAGCAAAGGAACAUGACAUUGGUCUGGUGACCAUUUAUUUUAAGUAAAACUCCAGCAGAGCAAAGGGACAUCUAAAAUUCAUUUUUCAUGUUGGAAGAUGUUCGUCGUCGAUCGACACCUUAGCAAAGGAUCCGCCUCCUUNNNNNNNNUUGGAAGAUGUUCGUCGUCGAUCGACACCUUAGCAAAGGAUCCGUCUCCUUAGCUAGUUCCAACCGUCCGGCGGCGCCCGGCUGCCACCACCUCGUCCCCCACGGCCACGAGAAGCUGGAACAGAACGAAGGCAGAAAAAUGUUGAGUUCAGCAUGGAUCGCACCUGCAUUUGAGCAAAGGACAGACAUGACGGAUGAAGUAGUGGUGUGGUUAAUUACCUGCAAGGAUGUCAGCGCGGGCUCUUGUCGCGUCCCCCUGAAUCCUAACCAUCCUAUUUCGGCGCCACAAUAUGGCCUCAUUUCUCGUCGCCGCCGCCGCCGCCGCCGCUCGGUUGUCGUCGCCUG